GAAUUUUGGACAAUGGGCGAAAGCCUGAUCCAGCAAUGCCGCGUGCAGGAUGAAGGCCUUCGGGUUGUAAACUGCUUUUGUACGGAACGAAAAGCUUUGGGUUAAUACACUGGAGUCAUGACGGUCCCGUAAGAAUACGCACCGGCUAACCACGUUCCCGCAGCCGCGGGAAUACGUAGGGUGCAAGCGUUAAUCGGAAUUAUUGGGCGUAAAGCGUGCGCAGUCGGUUUUGUAAGACAGAGGUGAAAUCCCCGGGCUCAACCUGGGAACUGCCUUUGUGACUGCAAGGCUAGGGUACGGCAGAGGGGGGUGGAAUUCCGCGUGUAACAGUGAAAUGCGUAGAUAUGCGGAGGAACACCGAUGGCGAAGGCAACCCCCUGGGCCUGUACUGACGCUCAUGCACGAAAGCGUGGGGAGCAAACAGG
This 425-nucleotide ribosomal RNA is filed under the name uncultured bacterium. Its description in RNAcentral is "partial 16S ribosomal RNA". It matches the Rfam family "Bacterial small subunit ribosomal RNA", at positions 359 to 776 of the family's 1533-position model. The record is from RNAcentral.